This 1372-nucleotide long non-coding RNA is filed under the name Sus scrofa (pig). RNAcentral describes it as "lncRNA (ENSSSCG00070002145.1)". Lineage: Eukaryota; Metazoa; Chordata; Mammalia; Artiodactyla; Suidae. The record is from RNAcentral.
AUGGGGCAGGGAUGGGUGCCCACAGGCUGUCCCCUCUUCUACGAAAGAGCUGGGCUGAGGAGUGGGAAGUCUAUGCAGUCAUCAGGCAGGACUGGGACAGCGGCAGCUGUGAGAACUCGUGCGAAUUCCCUCCAGAGCAGGGCUAGGGGCAGGGGCCCUACCUCUUGCAACACCACCCCCAGCCCCGCCUCACUCAGGACUGUUUGUUCAGAUGCUGGUACCCAUUUCAGGCAACCUGAGCUGAGCAGAUGGUUUCCCGGGAAGGAGGCUGGCUCCGUGCUGGCAGCUGGUGAAGAAUGGGCUUCACCUGUUGAGGUGUGGGGACCCGACCCCUGUGUCCCUGGAAGGUGGGAUGGGUGGAUGCCUGGCUAGUGCAUUGGGGGUCAUCCUAGCAGGCCCUGGGGGAGAACAACCAGUGCCUGGGAAUGGGGUGCCUGCUGGGAAGGAACACAAAUGUGUCCAGAUAAGGCUGAGAUGACAAGUACCUCUCACAGUCUGCUCCCCAGUGUUCCUGGCCAGAAUGUCUCUGCUCACAUCCUAGUUGGGGUCUCAGUCUCCAGUCAGAACAGGAGAGCCAGCUUCCAGGGAGAUCUGAGUUGGCCUGUCCUUCAGGUCAGUGACAGGCAGUGACCCGAGGCCCUUCCACUGCCUCCGGUCCUGGUUCUGUGUGCCUAUCCAUGAUGAAAAAAAGAUGCCCCCUGCAGGCCCCUCUGACCUCCCAUCUCACCAUCCUCUCCGGAGUCCAUCUCAUCUCGGGGAAAGUUGGUCAAGUCAACUCCAGCUCUGAGGGGUUCUUCCUGGGUCCUGAUGUGCCUCCUUCUCUGGGCUACAGUUUGGAGAUGCUGGGCUCCAACCAGGGGCCAGCUCUGCCCAGGGACCUCUCCUAAAAAGAAGAUAGCCUAGUCACUCCUCCUUGAGAUCCCAUGUCUCCCGCGGCCCUCAUCACAGGUCCAGCCACUCGGAUUGGCUUUGUUCUCCUUGCCCACGGGACUGGGAGCUCUGGUAGGACGGAAACCACAUCUGUCUCAGUCACAUUUGGUCCCCAGAUCUGGGCAGCACUGGAUAACAGCUCAGUCAAUGGACUGAUUGCAAAGUACAGAUCCAUUUCCAUUGCUUUAAGGCAAAAUCAUUCGUUGCCUCACACAGAAUGGUCCAUGUGUCCUUCUUUUUCCUGGGCCCUGGUAUGGGCAGUGGGUGGGGAGGGUAUGGACAUUGGCCAGCUUGGUUUCUGCCUUCCCAGAGCUCAGAAUCUUCCUGGAGGACAGGCUUAGGACUAAGGAAACAGAUGCCAUGCCCCUGGGCCCCACAGAAACCUAGAGAGACCCAAGAUAGAUGGGCUGUCAGAGCAUCUGGAUACCGAGUAGUUGGGAGG